Molecule: ribosomal RNA, 652 nt
Filed under: uncultured marine eukaryote
Lineage: Eukaryota
Description: SSU rRNA
Rfam family: Eukaryotic small subunit ribosomal RNA
Source: RNAcentral
UUGUGGUUAAAAAGCUCGUAGUUGGAUCUCGGCGGACUGAGGGCGGUUUGCUUGCUAGUAUUACUGCCCUAUAGUCCGUAGUUUUGCCAGAGGUUUCGGGGUGCUCUUAAUCGAGUGUCCCGGGAUGCUGGCAGGUUUACUUUGAAAAAAUUAGAGUGCUCAAAGCAGGCUAUUACGCCUGAAUAUUCGUGCAUGGAAUAAUAGAAUAGGAAGUCGUUUCUAUUUUGUUGGUUUUCGGAAAUCGACUUAAUGAUUAAUAGGGACAGUCGGGGGCAUUUGUAUUCAAACGACAGAGGUGAAAUUCUUGGACCGUUUGAAGACAAACUACUGCGAAAGCAUUUGCCAAGAAUGUUUUCAUUAAUCAAGAACGAAAGUUAAAGGUUCGAAGGCGAUUAGAUACCGCCCUAGUUUUAACCAUAAACGGUGCCAGCUAGCGAUCUGCGGACGUUUUUUUUGUAGACUCCGCAGGAAGCUUCCGGGAAACCAAAGCAUUUGGGUUCCAGGGGAAGUAUGGUUGCAAAGCUGAAACUUAAAGGAAUUGACGGAAGGGCACCACCAGGAGUGGAGCCUGUGGCUUAAUUUGACUCAACACGGGAAAUCUCACCAGGCCCGGACACUGGAAGGAUUGACAUAUUGAUAGCUCUUUCUUGAU